Non-coding RNA from Glycine max (soybean), 83 nucleotides. The record is from Rfam. Lineage: Eukaryota; Viridiplantae; Streptophyta; Magnoliopsida; Fabales; Fabaceae.
UGCCGUGAAUGAUGAUAAAUAUUUUUUUUACAGUUAUCCCUGGCUGAUACAACAGGUGCUGAAAAUUGUAAUCUGACACGCAA